This 492-nucleotide ribosomal RNA is filed under the name uncultured bacterium. Its description in RNAcentral is "partial 16S ribosomal RNA". It matches the Rfam family "Bacterial small subunit ribosomal RNA", at positions 29 to 507 of the family's 1533-position model. The record is from RNAcentral.
AGUGAACGCUGGCGGUAGGCCUAACACAUGCAAGUCGAACGGCAGCACAGUAAGAGCUUGCUCUUACGGGUGGCGAGUGGCGGACGGGUGAGGAAUACAUCGGAAGCUGCUGUUUCGUGGGGGAGAACGUAGGGAAACUUACGCUAAUACCGCAUACGACCUACGGGUGAAAGCAGGGGAUCUUCGGACCUUGCGCGAUUGAAUGAGCCGAUGUCGGAUUAGCUAGUUGGCGGGGUAAAGGCCCACCAAGGCGACGAUCCGUAGCUGGUCUGAGAGGAUGAUCAGCCACACUGGAACUGAGACACGGUCCAGACUCCUACGGGAGGCAGCAGUGGGGAAUAUUGGACAAUGGGCGCAAGCCUGAUCCAGCCAUACCGCGUGGGUGAAGAGGGCCUUCGGGUUGUAAAGCCCUUUUGUUGGGAAAGAAAAGCAGCAGGUUAAUACCCCGCUGUUCUGACGGUACCCAAAGAAUAAGCACCGGCUAACUUCGUG